This 543-nucleotide ribosomal RNA is filed under the name uncultured Burkholderiales bacterium. RNAcentral's name for it is "bacterial SSU rRNA". It matches the Rfam family "Bacterial small subunit ribosomal RNA", at positions 96 to 633 of the family's 1533-position model. Lineage: Bacteria; Pseudomonadati; Pseudomonadota; Betaproteobacteria; Burkholderiales. The record is from RNAcentral.
UGGCGAACGGGUGAGUAAUAUAUCGGAGCGUGCCCAAUAGUGGGGGAUAGCCCGGCGAAAGCCGGAUUAAUACCGCAUGAGACCUGAGGGUGAAAGCGGGGGAUUCGCAAGAACCUCGCGCUAUUGGAGCGGCCGAUAUCAGAUUAGGUAGUUGGUGGGGUAAAAGCCUACCAAGCCGACGAUCUGUAGCUGGUCUGAGAGGACGACCAGCCACACUGGGACUGAGACACGGCCCAGACUCCUACGGGAGGCAGCAGUGGGGAAUUUUGGACAAUGGGCGCAAGCCUGAUCCAGCCAUGCCGCGUGCGGGAAGGAGGCCUUCGGGUUGUAAACCGCUUUUGUCAGGGAAGAGAUCCUUUGAGUUAACACCUCGGAGGGAUGACGGUACCUGAAGAAUAAGCACCGGCUAACUACGUGCCAGCAGCCGCGGUAAUACGUAGGGUGCGAGCGUUAAUCGGAAUUACUGGGCGUAAAGCGUGCGCAGGCGGUCUUGCAAGACAGGUGUGAAAUCCCCGGGCUUAACCUGGGAACUGCAUCCGUGAC